ACAUGGCGGCGCCCUAUUGGCCAAACUCAAGGCUUCAAAACGGCAGUCCACAAACCAACAGUGCUGUGAACAGGAACUGCCACAGUCCGGCUGGAACAAGAUCAGAAACAAUCUGACUUCAAAAAGGUCAGGCGGUGGAGUCCAGAGUUUGCUCAGGAUCACAGGAGUUCAUCAUGAGGUAGAGGCGUUUGGAAAGCUCCGGACCGACCCGUCGAGUUGUGGAUGUGACACCUUCACCUCUGCGGAUCAGAAGGUCAGACAACAAGGAGAUCUUCUCGCGGUCUGCUUUGCACAGAUUGUAAGCCUGCAGAAAGACAAGGCAAUUGAUUUAAGAAAAAAAAAAGUUACACUAUUCUAAUAUG
Micropterus dolomieu (smallmouth bass) is the source of this 362-nucleotide long non-coding RNA. RefSeq lists it as uncharacterized. Lineage: Eukaryota; Metazoa; Chordata; Actinopteri; Centrarchiformes; Centrarchidae. The record is from RefSeq and is a predicted model, not a curated record. The transcript is spliced from 2 exons.